RNAcentral lists this ribosomal RNA (1362 nucleotides) under metagenome. RNAcentral's name for it is "bacterial SSU rRNA". It matches the Rfam family "Bacterial small subunit ribosomal RNA", at positions 8 to 1333 of the family's 1533-position model. The record is from RNAcentral.
AGGGUUUGAUCCUGGCUCAGAGCGAACGCUGGCGGCGUGGUUAAGGCAUGCAAGUCGAGCGGAUGAUUCAGAUGGGUAACCAACUGAAUUUAUUAGCGGCGAAAGGGUGAGUAAUGCAUGAGUAACGUACCCUGGACACGGGGAUAGCCAGCCGAAAGGCUGGGUAAUACCCGAUAAUAUCUUUGGAUCGCAUGGUUCAAAGAUCAAAAGAUGGCCUCUACAUGUAAGCUGUCGGUCUUGGAGCGGCUCAUGUCAUAUCAGCUUGUUGGUAGGGUAAUGGCCUACCAAGGCUAAGACAUGUAGCUGGUUUGAGAGGACGAUCAGCCACAUCGGGACUGAGACACUGCCCGGACCUCCACGGAGGGCUGCAGCGACGAAUAUUCCGCAAUGCGCGAAAGCGUGACGGAGCGACGCCGCGUGUGGGACGAAGCCCCUCGGGGUGUAAACCACCGUCAGGACCAAGCAAACAAUGAGGGUUAAUAGCCCUUGGCGAUGAGCUAAGCCAACGGAAGUCACGGCUAACUCUGUGCCAGCAGCCGCGGUAAGACAGAGGUGGCUAGCGUUGCUCGGAAUUACUGGGCUUAAAGGGUGCGUAGGCGGCUAAGUAAGCGUUUUGUGAAAUCCCUCCGCUUAACCGAGGAACUGCUUGGCGAACUACUUAGCUUGAGGCGUGUAGGGGUCAGUGGAACUCUGGGUGGAGCGGUGAAAUGCGUAGAUAUCCAGGGGAACGCCAGUGGCGAAGGCGACUGACUGGGCACGACCUGACGCUGAGGCACGAAAGCGUGGGGAGCGAACGGGAUUAGAUACCCCGGUAGUCCACGCCCUAAACGAUGUGCACUAGGUUCGAGGAUCUCUGACGAUUUUCGGACCGAAGGGAAACUGUUAAGUGCACCGCCUGGGGAGUACGGCCGCAAGGCUAAAACUCAAAGGAAUUGACGGGGGCUCACACAAGCGGUGGAGCAUGUGGCUUAAUUCGAAGCAACGCGAAGAACCUUACCUGGGUUUGACAUGUUUGGAUGCCGCCCCUGAAAGGGGGUUAGGCUGCCUUCGGGUGAAACUUACACAGGUGCUGCAUGGCUGUCGUCAGCUCGUGCCGUGAGGUGUUGGGUUAAGUCCCGUAACGAGCGAAACCCUUAUCGUUAGUUGCCAGCAGGUUAUGCUGGGCACUCUAGCGAGACUGCCGGCGUUAAGCCGGAGGAAGGUGGGGACGACGUCAAGUCAUCAUGGCCUUUAUGCCCAGGGAUGCACACGUGCUACAAUGCCUGGUACAAAUCGACGCUAAGCCGCGAGGCCACGCAAAUCGCAAAAAGCCAGGCCCAGUUCGGAUCGCAGUCUGCAACUCGACUGCGUGAAGUUGGAAUC